CUUGUAUGUAGUUACGUGUCGAAUUUUUUCAUUCUUUGAUUCAUUACACUCAAUUCAGGUAUGGUUUGCACCAAUUCAAGAGACUGUACAUUAGGCAUUCAAUAUAUAAGACUGGAGUGAGACUGAUUAGGCAUUUAAAUGUGUUGCAGGAUGUUGUUUGAAUUGCUUGUCCUAAUAGGUGCACACGUUGGGAUGGAUUAGACUUCUAUCUUGAGAAAAUGCCAUGAUUUCAGGGCUGCUUUCGCCGGGUUUGAUGCAGAAAUUGUCGCCAACUUCACAGAAAGACAGAUAACAUCAGUGGACACAGAUUACAACCUGGAUUUAAAUAAGGUUCGAGGUGCCGUCAAUAAUGCUAACAGAAUCCUCCAGGUCAGAUUGUUGAUUGGACCUGAUUUUA
Molecule: long non-coding RNA, 397 nt
Organism: Magnolia sinica
Lineage: Eukaryota; Viridiplantae; Streptophyta; Magnoliopsida; Magnoliales; Magnoliaceae
Exons: 2
Source: RefSeq, a predicted model, not a curated record